AUAAGACGGGGGGGUCUAUUUUGUUGGUUUCUAGGACCGCCGGAAUGAUUAAUAGGGACAGUCGGGGGCAUCAGUAUUCAAUUGUCAGAGGUGAAAUUCUUGGAUCUAUUGAAGACUAACUACUGCGAAAGCAUUUGCCAAGGAUGUUUUCAUUGAUAAGGAACGAAAGUUAGGGGAUCGAAGACGAUCAGAUACCGUCGUAGUCUUAACUAUAAACUAUGCCGACUAGGGAUCGGACGAUGUUAUUCUUUGACGCGUUCGGCACCUUUCGAGAAAUCAAAGUGCUUGGGCUCCAGGGGGAGUAUGGUCGCAAGGCUGAAACUUAAAGAA
RNAcentral lists this ribosomal RNA (330 nucleotides) under Lomentospora prolificans. RNAcentral's name for it is "Scedosporium prolificans Eukaryotic small subunit ribosomal RNA". It matches the Rfam family "Eukaryotic small subunit ribosomal RNA", at positions 821 to 1151 of the family's 1831-position model. Lineage: Eukaryota; Fungi; Ascomycota; Sordariomycetes; Microascales; Microascaceae. The record is from Rfam by way of RNAcentral.